CAUUAAAGAGUUCUAUAACUCCCAAACCCAUGUGAACAUACCUAACGUUGCCUCGGCAGGUCGCACCUACCUUGUAGCACCCUACCCUGUAGGGCCUACCCGGGAGGUGCGGGUAAGCCUGCCGGCGGCCCACCAAACUCUGUUUGAUAUUGAAUUCUGAACCUAUAACUAAAUAAGUUAAAACUUUCAACAACGGAUCUCUUGGUUCUGGCAUCGAUGAAGAACGCAGCGAAAUGCGAUAAGUAAUGUGAAUUGCAGAAUUCAGUGAAUCAUCGAAUCUUUGAACGCAUAUUGCGCCCAUUAGUAUUCUAGUGGGCAGGACCGUUCGAGCGUCAUUUCAACCCUUAAGCCUUCGUUGCUUAGUGUUGGGAGCCUACGGCAACGUAGCUCCUCAAAGUUAGUGGCGGAGUUGGUUCACACUCUAGACGUAGUAAUUUUUUAUCUCGCCUAUUAGUUGGACUAAUCCCCUGCCGUAAAACCCCCAAUUUAUCAAGGUUGACCUCGAAUCGGUUCAGACAAACUCGCUAAAUUGAAGCAUCUUAGUCAGCGAAGGAAAAGAAACCAACAGGGAUUGCCCUAGUAACGGCGAGUGAAGCGGCAACAGCUCAAAUUUGAAAUCUGGCCCUCGGGUCCGAGUUGUAAUUUGUAGAGGAUGCUUUUGGCGCGGUGCCUUCCGAGUUCCCUGGAACGGGACGCCUUAGAGGGUGAGAGCCCCGUACGGUUGGACACCAAGCCUCUGUAAAGCUCCUUCGACGAGUCGAGUAGCUUGGGAAUGCUGCUCUAAAUGGGAGGUAAAUUUCUUCUAAAGCUAAAUAUUGGCCAGAGACCGAUAGCGCACAAGUAGAGUGAUCGAAAGAUGAAAA
Molecule: ribosomal RNA, 863 nt
Filed under: fungal endophyte
Lineage: Eukaryota; Fungi
Description: eukaryotic LSU rRNA
Rfam family: Eukaryotic large subunit ribosomal RNA (bases 497-863)
Source: RNAcentral